This 254-nucleotide ribosomal RNA is filed under the name uncultured bacterium. RNAcentral's name for it is "partial 16S ribosomal RNA". It matches the Rfam family "Bacterial small subunit ribosomal RNA", at positions 524 to 776 of the family's 1533-position model. The record is from RNAcentral.
UACGGGGGAUGCAAGCGUUAUCCGGAUUUAUUGGGUUUAAAGGGUGCGUAGGCUGUGAGGUAAGUCAGCGGUGAAAUGCCCCCGCUCAACGGGGUGAAGUGCCAUUGAUACUGCCUUGCUGGAAUGCGGAUGCCGUGGGAGGAAUGUGUGGUGUAGCGGUGAAAUGCAUAGAUAUCACACAGAACACCGAUUGCGAAGGCAUCACACGAAUCCGCGAUUGACGCUGAUGCACGAAAGCGUGGGUAUCAAACAGG